This 432-nucleotide ribosomal RNA is filed under the name uncultured Rhodoferax sp. RNAcentral's name for it is "bacterial SSU rRNA". It matches the Rfam family "Bacterial small subunit ribosomal RNA", at positions 37 to 471 of the family's 1533-position model. The record is from RNAcentral. Lineage: Bacteria; Pseudomonadati; Pseudomonadota; Betaproteobacteria; Burkholderiales; Comamonadaceae.
UGGCGGCAUGCCUUACACAUGCAAGUCGAACGGCAGCACGGGAGCAAUCCUGGUGGCGAGUGGCGAACGGGUGAGUAAUAUAUCGGAACGUGCCCAGUCGUGGGGGAUAACGUAGCGAAAGCUACGCUAAUACCGCAUACGAUCUAUGGAUGAAAGCGGGGGAUCGCAAGACCUCGCGCGAUUGGAGCGGCCGAUAUCAGAUUAGCUAGUUGGUGGGGUAAAAGCCCACCAAGGCGACGAUCUGUAGCUGGUCUGAGAGGACGACCAGCCACACUGGAACUGAGACACGGUCCAGACUCCUACGGGAGGCAGCAGUGGGGAAUUUUGGACAAUGGGCGAAAGCCUGAUCCAGCAAUGCCGCGUGCAGGACGAAGGCCUUCGGGUUGUAAACUGCUUUUGUACGGAACGAAAAAGUCUUUUCUAAUAAAGAGG